This 331-nucleotide ribosomal RNA is filed under the name Helleria brevicornis. RNAcentral's name for it is "partial 16S ribosomal RNA". The record is from RNAcentral. Lineage: Eukaryota; Metazoa; Arthropoda; Malacostraca; Isopoda; Tylidae.
AUAAUAAUUUGUCUUAUAAUUGAAGUCUGGAAUGAAUGGUUUAAUGAGAAGAGUUCUUUCCCCUUCUUAAAAAUUGAAUUUCAUAGUUAAGUAAAAAAGCUUAAAUAAAUUUUUAAGACGAUAAGACCCUAUAAAGCUUUACUUAUACUUGGUAAAAUAUAAGUAUAUUUAAAUCACUUAAGUUAGGCUGGGGCGGCAAUUUAAUUAAACAUUUUCAGUUAAAACAUAUUGAAUGAAUUAAAAUAAUGAGGAUUUCCUAAUUCUAAAUCAAGUUACUUUAGGGAUAACAGCACAAUUAAAUCUAAGAGUUCUUAUCGAAGAAAAAGAUUGU